UGGCUCGUUCGUUGUCUGGACUUUGGUUCAGGCACAUUCCUAGGUUGCAGAGGGUGGGGACUGGUGGAAAGAGUAGGAGUAGCCAGCCAUUGGAGAGGAAGUAAUGUUCAUUAAAACAGUUUUGAGCUCUCUUUCUCUCUGAGCAUGCUCAGGCAUCGCUCCUCUGGUCUUGAGAAGAAGAUUUUUUUUAUUUUUAUACUUAAUUAAUAUUUUUUUAAAAAAAAGCCCUUGGAACUUUUCAAGAUUAUAAAGUGGAUUUAUUUAGCCCUUCGAGGAAGCCAGGGGUGACUGAGAGCACCUGCGAGCAAGUUUACAGGGUGAAAAACAGCAGAGAAGCGAGAGACGAGACGAAAACGAGAGAAGAGAGAGCAGCGGGGACUGAGAAAAAAUGUUCUCUUUGGCAAAGACGGGAUACGAGAGAGAGAGGAGAGGAAAGGAGAGGCAGAGAGUGAAAGUUUUGCUAAAAGAAAAAGGAUUCUUAACAACUUGUGGGACUUCAGGAUUCUUAUAGCAAAGUCUAGAGGCCUUAAUGCAGACACAACAAUGGUGAGAAGAUGAGGAACCCUGUGGAGGAGCCUGGCUGGGCUGAUUCAGUUCCUGCUGAAUGCUAACCCAGGUGCCUUCAUUCCCCACGGCAAUUAGUCAUCAGCAGAUAAACCAGGCCAUAAAGGUCGCCUUGCAGCAGAGAGACUCGCGGUACAAGGACCAAAGCGAUUGCCCGCAGAACCUAUUGCAGUGGGACAGUGAGCACUUGUCACCUGCCUCCAGCGAUGCGCUCGCCUUCAGAGCCUGCGAGCAAGGCCAACUUUGGACAAUUGAAAAGCCUCUGAGAUAGUUCCUCAACGUUCCCGCUCACCAUCACCAGGAAUGGAACACACAGGUGGAGAGUAACAAACGUGCCGGCUGAGCUCCCAUCUCCCUGAGCCGGGAUCAGCCACGCUCCUUUUCCUGUAAAACAAAUAUUUCCAGGAAGCGAUGGGGUUUGCAGGAAGCAUUAGCGGAAGUCAGCAGCGAGAGGAGGGGCUGGGGAAGGGGGGAGAGGAAGGAGUGUAUUUACGCCCCCCCCCCCCCUCC
This is a long non-coding RNA of Callorhinchus milii (elephant shark), 1074 nucleotides long. RefSeq lists it as uncharacterized. Lineage: Eukaryota; Metazoa; Chordata; Chondrichthyes; Chimaeriformes; Callorhinchidae. The record is from RefSeq and is a predicted model, not a curated record. The transcript is spliced from 6 exons.